GUGACCUGAGCCGAAGUCGGACAUCUAACCGACUGAGCCACCCAGGCGCCCCAGUCCUUCAGUUUCUUUCUGAAACUGAAAAGAUUUUGCAGAGUUGCUUUGAACCUUGAGCUAGUUAGGUCAAGUGGAAUUUCCCCAACUAUAGCCCUUGAGAAUUAGAGAAUGUAUCAUACCUGCAUGUCUAGGGUGAUUUGAGACAAGCCUGCCUUCUAGGCACCAGUCUGUACCUAACUCUUCUGAGCCCACGACUAUAUCACCUUGUCCGUCUUUGCUACUGGAGAGAUUUCAAAUGGUGAGGUGACAGAUUUGCCUCUACUGAGUUGACGGAGACAUGCUAGGUGCAGGCUUCUAUUUUGUGUUUCGGAUUGGGGCUAGUUCAAGAGGUAGCGAGGGUUUGUCACAAAGUACACAUUGAUUUAUCACUUCCAUGCCUAACGUUUGCUGAGGUUUUUAGAUUGGGGGGAUUCUAGCCCUCCUUGAAAAGCUAAUGAAACUUAGGAAAUUCUUAUAAAAAAGCACAACAUUUUACGUUCAUUUUCAGUAGCUUCAUUGAAACCACUGGUCUGUGGCCCUCCUGUUCUGUUCUUUUGAGGGAUAUCACGAAAACCUGUCCACCAGAGAGCUUGCUAGCCCACGUUCUCAGAAGGUCAUGUCCUCCCAGCUGGGACCGUUAAGGUGAGUGAAACUCAGGUCAGUUGUCCUGAGCUCAGGGCCACUGCAAAACAGACACGGAUUGGUGUAUGCUGCACAGCUGUUGGGGGCACACUUCGUAGGCUGUCUUAUCUAGAGUUAUGUAAUAUGUACCUGUAUGAGGAGCUCCUGGGGGUGUGGGGUGAUACUGGAAAUACUGGGGAUAGCAUUUAAAAAUGAAAAAAAAAGGAGGAGCAUCAGAGCCAAGGAUGAAGCCAGUUUCCGUGUCCACAACCCUUUCCACCUUUUGUGACCCCUUUAAGGUACUUUGUAUGGAUUCCAACUGCACAACAUAUUUUGUUUCCUGGAUUUUUGCAUCCUACUUAACCUGGUGCUGCAAGCUGAAUCAUUGUUGAAUGUAGUCUGGGGCUAGAGUAAGGCGAGCUGAAACUAGUCACUGAUUCAAAUUGCCAUUCGCAGACAAAUGCCUAGUUGGUGCUUGAUUGCUAGAAUUUUUUUUUUUAAGUUUAUUUUUUGGAGAAAGCACAAGUCGGGGAGGGGCAGAGAGAAGGAGACACCGCAUCGAAAGCAGGCUCUUGUGUCAUCAGCGCGGAACCCGAUGGGGGCCUCCAACUCGAGAGCCGUGAGAUCACGACCUGAGCUGAGAUCGAGGCAGAUGCAUAACUGACUGAGCCACGCAGGCACCCCUGUUUGCUAGACUUUGCACAAAUCCACACUCUAAAGGUAUCACAAAAAUCAGUGCUAUUAGAAAGAUUGCAGGUCAUUAUGGGUUUGGGGAUGCAGGGAUAAUCUCACUACAUACCUUCCCAACCCUGAACUCAUGUGGUUAAUACUUUCUUUUUGCUUUGUUUCCUCUUCAAAAUAAAGCAUGGGAGUUCAAUUCGGUCAAUAAAUACUUAUUUGAUGUUAAUCUGAGCCAGAUCCUGCUUGGCACUGGGAAUAGCACAGUGAAUCAGGAAGCUCCCUCAGUUGCCUGCGGUCUGCGCUGGAGGUAGGGAUGGGGGCAGUUUGCACACGGGCCAGGCAGUGGCAGUGAAGGAAGUGGCUUUGGUGGUUCCACGUGACCGUGACCGGAGCCAAGGGUGUGAUGGGAGAAGUGCCGAGAGACGGCCCUGGGGUGUGAUGCGGGUGGGCUAUGCCAAGCCAGGAAGGUUGAACCUUAUCCUGAAGGCAGUGGAGAGCCAUUUAAGGAUUUUAAGCGGGGGUGUGACAUCUCAUUUGCAUUUUGGGGAGCUUUGGGUACAUUGUUGAGAAUAGACUGAAAGUGAUGGCAGUGGACCUGGCAAGAAGAACAGUAGAUAGCACUUACUGAGCGUUUAGUGGGUGCUGACUGGGCAUUUACUAGUCCCAUCGGGUAUUUAAGGCUUAGAGGAAGUAAGUAACCUGUCUGAGGGAAUGAACCUAACUGACAGAAUCGAGUCAGUGGUUAAAACUAUUGUGUCUGAGACAAAAGCCCAAAAGAAGAAGUACGUGGAGUUGACAGAAACCCAGGCGGAAGGGAUGCACUUCCUGAAUGAAUGCCUGGGGCUGUGAGGGGAAAAAGGGAGGAGUCAGGGAUGGCUUGGGCAGUUGGUGGAUGGCGGUGCCACUCACGGAGAUCAAGAAUAUGGUAAAAGGGGAGGUUUGUGGUGGUGGUGAGGUAGGAAAAAGUGAUGAGUUUUGGACGUGUUGACUUUGUGCGUAUGAGAGAUCCAAAGGGAAAUGGAGACACCUGGGCUGUAAAUAUUAAGCACCUGUCACUUAUCUUGUACUUUGUAGGUCCCGGGGACACUGUGCUGAAACUGAGGAACGUGGUCCUUGCUCUCGUGGCUUCGGGAAACGGGCUAGGCAACACGUAGGACCCUGAUAACUGGGAGAAGUACGCAGGCCUCAGGAGCUGAGGAAGGCCAAACCUGAUCCCUGGCUUCCUGAAGGUUAACCAGUCGGAGCUCCUCCUGUGCGUUGGCCUGGAAGAUUCCAUGGCCUGGGCCAGGUGUGGUAGGGCUUGUGGACGCUGGGAUGGCCCUUGAUGCUAUGGGUCAAGGACGAUGAGUCAGGCCAGUGCAGCAUCUCUGCCAAGCUGGAAUAUAGGAGGCCUGGGCACAUGAAGUCAGGUAAGUGGGUGUCUUGGUGAUGGAUGGGAGUUUCCCGGCAAGUGUGACCUUUCCCUCCGCUGAGUCCAGCUGGACCAACCCUGUGGCUCCAGGGCCCCUUGUCAUCCACUGAUUGCUUUGUGAUUAAUGCACAAGUCCCUUAUUCCCACCUCGUGUCCCUGCUCUAUGCUCCCCCAGCUCCCGUGGCGGACCCUGCUGCACUUAGGCAAUUUACUCAGAAAGGAUCGUCCCAAGAAUCUCUCCACAUGCUUGGUGGGCAGGUAGUGACCAACGUCUGUGUGUGACUCCCCUGCAGAAUUCAAAACCAAGGACAGACAUGCCAAUCACAGCAUUAGGGGAGAGACUUAAAAUACCUGCAGUGAGUAGAGCAGGGCCCAGAAGAGGCCAGGAUCUGUCCUGCAGGCAUCGCCCCUUCUUCUCUGCACAUUUUUGGGCUCAGCAAGAAAGCCAUGAGUUUCCACCUGGCAGUCAUUCACUGGGGCUGCCUGUGGGUCCCAGUGCCGUUUCACAAAGGACAGGCAGCCUAACCCUGGUUUGUCUGGGAACCAGAGAACUGCAGAGGGAGGAGAGGGGCCCAACCCUCCGGUCCUAGCACCAAACCAAGUGGACCCCCCACCAAAUAUACAGAGGGCGAAUGGUCCCGAAUGGACAAUCCACUUUUCAAACAGUGUUUUCACCUUGGCCUGGGGGCCCAAGCACGUAAAGUGGGUUUCAUGCUGAUUUGGCUGCAUGGACUUUAUAACUUAACCAGAGUAGGAGAGACCGAAUCACGUGCUGUUAACAGGCAUUCAUUCAGCAAAUAUUUACUGACUCCCAGACAGGAGAGAGGGCUGGUUUGUGUCAGUUCGCUGUGAAGAGCAGCUCCUUCGUGCUGUAGCAGAACGUUUGUCCCUGUCCCCCAUCCCCCGGAGGGCCUCCCUACCUUCCUCAACAGGGCAGAUGAAAAUGUUUUUGUUCAGGUCAAGAAAGCUUUCUAAGGUAAAGGAUGGGGGAUAAAGGCUCUAUUUGCAUAAUAAGGCCAGGAAAAUUUGUGAAUUCCUUCCAGGGGCCAAAUGGGAGCUUUGGAAAGAGCUUGGCGGUAAGGUGUAUUUGACCUAAGGCUUUUUAGGAGGAAGCGGGUGCUGUGAGGACAGGAAGCCUGCAGUCAGAGCGGGGAGGCCUCCUGCCAGCAGCUCUGGGCCCCGAGCUCAGCCCUGGCCUCUGCAGAGCUGGCGGGCACCCCUUUCCUGGUACUGCACUGAGGAGGAGGGCAUCCAAGGAGUGCCAUGUGCUGACCCCCUCAUUCCCUGACUCUCUCCACUUGCUCCCUCCACACCCCUCUCCCACCAAACUCCCCCCUCCCCAUCGAGGCUCCAUGCCCCCACUCUCAUAUGUGGCCUGGAGAACCGUGCACAAGGGAAUGCUACCGGGUUGUGGAAGCAGGCGUGGCCAGUGGGCUGAAUGAGUGUGCCUACCACCCUUUGGAAAGGAGCCCUGGCCAGCUGGUCCAGCGGGGAAGUGGUCAUGGCAGUGAUAAUGGCCUGUGCUUGCAUAGUGUGCUCUUCUAAUCAGAUAUUUGCUCAUAUUAGUUCAUCAACAACAACCCUGUAAAAUAGGCCCGGUCAUGACCCAAUUUGACAAAUGAAUAAGCUGGGGCACAGAGAAAUGACUUGCCGGGUGUCACGCAGCUAGCAAAUGGGGACAGAGAUUCAAAUCUGGGCAGUUUGCCUCCAGAGUCCACCUACUUAACGACUAUCUAUUCUGCCCUCCUAGAUGAGCAUUCUCUUCUGGUAGGCUGUUUUGGAUGUGAGUGACAGAAAUGCGACCCAAGGACAGUCCAGACAGAGCAGCAGUGGCAAAGGCUCAGGGCCCAAGAAAGAAGGUGGGUGGUCAGCGAGGGCUGUAAGUUACUGGGAGCGGAGAUGGAGAGAAGUCACAGCAAGGGUCUUCGGUUGAGUCAGGUGCACAGAGGCAGGGGCCUUGCAGCAAUGACCCAGAGCUGAGGACACUGGUCAACUUGUCCCUGAGGCUAGUGGGGAGGAAAGACACCAGGGAACCAAGUGUGGCCUGGAACCAGGGCUCUCCUUGGCCCGUGUUCCUCGUCCACUCUUCUACUUCUGACUCUCCUCUUUACUCAUCUACUUUUUAUAGUUUUCUGAGUCUUUUUCUGCUUCCAGCUCCCCUGGAGAGCCAGAGCUCCAGGGAAGGAGAUCUGAUCUGUCUCAGCUCUUUGCAGAGGGUGGUCUCUGGUACAGAUUAAGCAUGUAGCUGGACACCCAUCCCCAUCUAUGUCCUGUUCUUUUAACGAAAGAUUCAGCGGUUCCUGGCUGGUUCAGUCGGUAGAGCUU
Molecule: long non-coding RNA, 5071 nt
Organism: Lynx canadensis (Canada lynx)
Lineage: Eukaryota; Metazoa; Chordata; Mammalia; Carnivora; Felidae
Exons: 3
Source: RefSeq, a predicted model, not a curated record